GGCCGUGUGCCUUGCGCCGGGAAACCACGCAAGGGAUGGUGUCAAAUUCGGCGAAACCUAAGCGCCCGCCCGGGCGUAUGGCAACGCCGAGCCAAGCUUCGCAGCCAUUGCACUCCGGCUGCGAUGAAGGUGUAGAGACUAGACGGCACCCACCUAAGGCAAACGCUAUGGUGAAGGCAUAGUCCAGGGAGUGGCGA
RNAcentral lists this unclassified non-coding RNA (197 nucleotides) under synthetic construct. Its description in RNAcentral is "Group I intron P9 from synthetic construct (PDB 3BO2, chain B)". The record is from RNAcentral.